CCUACGUGAGGCAGCAGUGAGGAAUAUUGGUCAAUGGGCGCGAGCCUGAACCAGCCAAGUAGCGUGAAGGAUGACUGCCCUACGGGUUGUAAACUUCUUUUAUAAAGGAAUAAAGUGAGGCACGUGUGCCUUUUUGUAUGUACUUUAUGAAUAAGGAUCGGCUAACUCCGUGCCAGCAGCCGCGGUAAUACGUAGGAUCCGAGCGUUAUCCGGAUUUAUUGGGUUUAAAGGGAGCGUAGAUUGGUUGUUAAGUCAGUUGUGAAAGUUUGCGGCUCAACCGUAAAAUUGCAAUUGAUACUGGCAGUCUUGAGUACAGUUGAGGGAGGCGGAAUUCGUGGUGUAGCGGUGAAAUGCUUAGAUAUCACGAAGAACUCCGAUUGCGAAGGCAGCUUACUAAACUGCCACUGACAUUGAUGCUCGAAAGUGUGGGUAUCAAACAGGAUUAGAUACCCGUGUAGUC
RNAcentral lists this ribosomal RNA (460 nucleotides) under uncultured bacterium. RNAcentral's name for it is "partial 16S ribosomal RNA". It matches the Rfam family "Bacterial small subunit ribosomal RNA", at positions 338 to 795 of the family's 1533-position model. The record is from RNAcentral.